GGGCUGUUGGGAGAUGGAGCCAGCAACACGGAAAUGGAUCCUUGGAAGCCCAGGAGCUGCACCUGAUCCUUGGGAUCCAUGGAUAUGUAUAGACAGGACCAUGAGGCUCUAAAGGAGCUGUUUUCCUUGGCUGUGCCGCCCUGGCUCCAGACUCUUCCCGUCUUCACGAGGUUUUGGGAAUUCCCAGACUUCACUCCCUGCUGGAAUCCAGGCUGGGAUGGGAUCAAGGAGAGGGCAAUGAAAUUCCAGCCAAUAUUCCUGGCUCCAUCUCCAUGCAGGAGUGGUGUGGGAAUGGAGAUUCCUGAGGGAAGGUUUGGGAAGGUUUGGGAAGGUUUGGGAAGGUAAGGUUUGGGAAGGUUUGGGAAGGUUUGGGAAGGGAAGGUUUGGGAAGGUUUGGGAAGGUNNNNNNNNNNNNNNNNNNNNUUUGGGAAGGUUUGGGAAGGUUUGGGAAGGUUUGGGAAGGUUUGGGAAGGGAAGGUUUGGGAAGGGAAGGUUUGGGAAGGUUUGGGAAGGUUUGGGAAGGGAAGGUUUGGGAGGAGGUUGGAUGGUUGG
Molecule: long non-coding RNA, 552 nt
Filed under: Serinus canaria (Common canary)
Lineage: Eukaryota; Metazoa; Chordata; Aves; Passeriformes; Fringillidae
Description: lncRNA (ENSSCAG00000006036.1)
Source: RNAcentral